AUGCUUGCUUCCAGAGCACAUAUACUAAAAUUGGAACGACAUAGAGAAGAUUUAGCAUGGCCCCUGCUCAAGGAUGACAGGCAAAUUCGUGAAGCGUUCCAUAAAAAA
Small nuclear RNA from Otolemur garnettii (small-eared galago), 108 nucleotides. Lineage: Eukaryota; Metazoa; Chordata; Mammalia; Primates; Galagidae. The record is from Ensembl.